This is a long non-coding RNA of Dermochelys coriacea (leatherback sea turtle), 3325 nucleotides long. RefSeq lists it as uncharacterized. The transcript has 3 exons. The record is from RefSeq and is a predicted model, not a curated record. Lineage: Eukaryota; Metazoa; Chordata; Testudines; Dermochelyidae.
AGCAGUGAUGGGACAAUCUGGAGAAGGGAUUGUCGGAACCUUUGCAGAGCUGGUGUGACCAGGGAAACAGGAUGUUGGUGGAGUGAUUUGAACCACGCAGCCUGGGACGAAGCCCGAGGUCACAACAGACGUAGAUGACAAUACACUCCUUCAGUUUUUGCCAAAAUGUAAAUCCAUCCCCAGAUUGAAUGCAAUCUGCAGCUGCUGAGAUCCAGUGUGGACUAGGAAAACUAGGGUGACAAAGAAAUACAGACAUGGGCAGCUCUUUCUGUGAUGCUGGGUGACAGUAUUCCUGCCAGUGGCUGAUCCAGAGAAAUAAGUGAGCUGACGUCCUGGGGACCAUCACUAAACCAAUUUGUCUCUUGAAUCAGGAAGGACUCCCUGGGCUCAAUCUUGCAAGAAAAAACUAGCACUUACUCCCAAGUCUGUAGGAUUUGGCUUUGCAUGUGCUGAAUUUGCUACAUUCUCCAGGGACCAGGGUCCAUAUAUAGGCCUUUUUCAAAAUAACUGAGAAAAAAAGUCAUUAUGCAAUUUAUUAGUGAUACGUAAACGGUAGGUAAUUUUGAUGACCAAAAGUUGCAAGAGAAAUCAUAAUGGCAAAUCUGUUUCAGUGCUGGGCUCUACACGUCAAAUGGGUAAACAGCGAAAGGCUACAAGAGUUUUGUUUGCAGUUCCAAACCUUGUUUUUUAAAGUUGUUGGAAAUCCAAGAACAUGUUUGUAUGUGAGUCUUUUCAGACCUGGGCUUAUGAUUGCAUUAUCAUUCGCAUGCCCCUGGCAUGCUUUAAGGAACAGUUGUUGAAUCCCAUAAGAAUAGGAACAUUUUAAAUGGCCAAAAGGCAUGUCAGAAAAUAUAUAUUUUUCAUUUAUAAUGGAAUAAUUUGUCUAAGAUUUGGACAUAAAUGAUAGAAAUAUUUUUUACCAGGCUAUAUUGCUAAUGCAAGAAAAGUAGGCCUAAAAAUGGAUUUUAUACCAUAGUAAUAAAAAAACCAAUAAUUUUACUUUAACAUAAAUUGUCACAAAUAGACAAGAGAAAGCAUGCCAAGGCCGUUUGAAAAGUCCAGUGCUAUGCCCAUAUCAUUAAUUAGGAUAGCAGUGUGGUCUAGUGGUUUAAACAGGAAUCUGUGAGCCAAGAUUUCCUGGAUGUUGUUCCUGGCUACACCAGGGCUGCUGUGUGUCUUUGGCACAUCUUGUAACCUCUCUUUAGCCCUCAGUUUGCUCCCUCUGUAAAAUAACACAUGGAAGAAAUAGGAGUUUUUUGACGGUGAGCUAAUACUGGUAAAGUUUUUUUCAGAUUCCUUGAUAAAAAGUGCUAUAGAGAUACUUAGUGUUAUACAAACAGACCACAAAGCCGUGUUAUAAUGAGAGGGUUAAGGAUCCUAACUUUAAACUAACGAAGGAAAUUUAGAAUUAAGUCUGGCACUUCCAUGUAGAGGAAACACAGUGAGUUCGCACUAAGUUACCACCAGUAUCACUCUAUUGGAUUUGAAUUAGGAGUUGUUCUCUGCUUCCCUGCAGAAAUAGUAGAGGGGUUGGCUUGCAGAACCUGUGUGUCUAAGGGGAACCACUGAAGGACAGGGUCAUGGAUGUGGAGAUCUUGGGCCUACAUACUGACUCCUGGCCCAUUUGAUACUCUUUCUGUGCAUGGUUCUUAUCUCAGGACUAGAAUUUAACAUUUAAAUACAUAUUACUUGCUCAGAUAUAGUCACUCCUCCAGAAAAACUGGUUGUAGACAGGAAUAUUCAUUGCUUUCCUAUGGCCUCUUUAACAGUCUCAUCUCUAUUAGAGGUAGACUGUUGACUUCCCAACUCCUCCCUUUGAAAUGUCCUGUGUAACAGCAGAGUAGACUACCUCUCUGCCCAGGUUAUAGUCUUGGCUUUGCUGCUACAGCAAUAGAGGUUUUCUUCAAGGACAAUCUUUCAAACAGCAUAUAAAAGAUCAGCUAUGCAAAAAGUUUGGUGCUUAUUUUCACCAACCAGUAUUGAAAAUAUAGACAUGUGGACACUAACCCCAAAAUUUUCCAGGGCUAUUGUUAAACCCUUUUAAGGUACAAUAACAGUUUUCCCUGAAACAAACAACCCCCAAACAAAACGCAGCAUUUUAAGGCAAAACAAGCCUUGGGCAAAUCUAAGCAUAGCCUCAGCAUUCAUUAUACAUUAGAAAGCACUCACUCCUGUAGCUGCAGGUAAUCCAAAUACACCAGAGUGACACUCUUUCACAAGAAUUUCCAUUAUAUAUUGCACUAUUAAAAGGAGAAUGAUCAUUGCAGGGAAUCUUCAAAUACUUCAAACUUAAUAUAUGUGUGCCUACUAGAACUAUGGGAGCUAAAACUGAUUUUUAUAGCUUGAUGUUCUGGCAACAAAGGUUUUUAGCAGAACCAACCAUCAACAUAAUUUAUCUGACCACAUAACAUAUAUAUUGGGGAAAAAGAGAGAUACACAUAAGGGAGGAUUUCUUGUUUUGGGAAAUUUAAUAAAAGGUUUGAAUUUAAGCCUUCAGGUAAGACUUCCUGUUAGAAUUAACAUCUUGAUGACAUAUGUUUUAUUUUUUGCUUUAGAAAUAAUGAUACAGGUAAUAUGAUACAAUCUAAUAAGGGGGGAAGAAAUACUAUAGUCAAUGCAAAGCUGUUGUUAAAGGAAAAAAACACUUUGGCUCAGAAACAUGAAUUAUACAUAUUGUCAGCCAACACACUAAACAAAAUUCUCAUUCUUAGCAUUAGAAAAAUCAGAAAUUAUAGAGCAGCUUUUCCUAGAGGCCAAAUUUAAAAAAUUGUGAAGAUCAGAACAUCAAAUAUUAAGGUAUAUGAUAACAGAAACCCAGUCAGUAAAGAAUGUUCAUGUCCCAGUUACUGUUCCAAAGCUAUAUAUUUACCAAGGAAAUCUAAAAGAAAGAUCAUUCGCAUUUGGGAAUAAUUGCAUUUGAAAGUAAACCUUCCUCUGAAUUAUCCAGAUGACUUUCUGACCAGAUUUCCCCCACUUCCUUUUUUAAAUUGCUCAGGUAAUCUUUUUUUAGCCACUUCUGAAGUGAAAUAACAGUUUAUGAAAAGAAGGUUGGGGCUAGAUUCUCUGCUGGUGUAACUCCACUGACUUCAAUGCAUGUCUAUUAGGAGAGAGUUUGAUCUCUCCUUGUUGCAACUGGUGGUGGAAUUGUGGAGAAAUAGGACACAACGACCCAAACUGGAAUUUAUCUAAGGCGCCAGGGAUAAGGCCAUAAUCUUGCAAGUACCACUAUGACCACAAAUGCCUCAAAUCCUGUAUGAUAAAAAUAAACUUCCUUUCCCAACAGCACAUUGUGGGCAUUAGUUCAAUAACAGACCCACUGGGGGAG